RNAcentral lists this long non-coding RNA (897 nucleotides) under Homo sapiens (human). RNAcentral describes it as "HSALNT0294492". The record is from RNAcentral. Lineage: Eukaryota; Metazoa; Chordata; Mammalia; Primates; Hominidae.
CGGACCUUACAGUUUAUGGGAUGAUUCUGUUUUGCUGAUGAAGAAACCAAGGCACAGAGAGUCUGUAACUCACCCAAGUUCCCUUUGCUGGAGCAUCCCGUGGCCUGGAACAGAGCUCUGGGGACUGGCAUCCUUCCACUGACUUUGAUGCUGAUGACAGCCCUGAUCGUGUGAUUCAGCUGGCCUUAACCCGACCCACGUGCACGUAUUCCUCAGCACAUCUAGAGCUGAAGUCGAGAGCCUCUGUGGGAACGCUUGGCAGCCCAUGCUGUUCUAAGGCUGGAGCAGAAUUUCUUAGUCUAUUCCAGGUAGACAGGCCUGCAGGGGGUCCAACCCCUACAAGCCCCUCUGUCUGGAAUAGACUGCUUUCAUCUCUGAUGUUAGAAAGCAGACCUGUUUCAGGGUUUGGGGAAGGUUGUUCGAUAUGAACUGGGUCCUCUCUAAUUAUUUUUACUGUAUGUGUGACUUCUUCCUAGAAAGAAUGGAAGAAUGUUUAUGUUAGAACAUUUUAUCUAUUCUUUGUCAAUUGUUGUUUGUCUGCAAUUUUAAAGUAGAUAAAGGAUAGCUCAAUGUAAAUAUAUUCUUAAUAAUUAACUAUGGUUGAUGUCCACUGCCAUGAGAUCAUAUUCACUUCUACAUAUGAUCUAUUACUUAGGAAUUAUCCUGCUCCUGAUGAGAAAACAGACUCAGAAAGAUUACAAAAUUACCUAGGCCACAAGUCUAGUGGGGAGAAGAAUAAGAAUUAGAAACUAGUUUCUUUUGGCCUUCAAAGCUAACCUCAUACCAUUAGAUUGAACUGAAUGACAAUACUUUCGCUAUAAUAAGUCUCAGAGUUUGUGGUUCUGCAUUGUGUUUCCAAGGAAACAGGGUGUCACUUUAAUAUUAUUUCAAACUUUU